UGGCAGACGGGUGCGUAACGCGUGGGAACUUACCUGGUAGUAGGGAAUAACCAGUGGAAACAUUGGGUAAUACUCUAUACGCCCUCCGGGGGAAAGAUUUAUUGCUAUCAGAUAGGCCCGCGUUAGAUUAGCUUGUUGGUGAGGUAAUGGCUCACCAAGGCGACGAUCUAUAGCUGGUCUGAGAGGAUGAUCAGCCACACUGGAACUGAGACACGGUCCAGACUCCUACGGGAGGCAGCAGUGAGGAAUAUUGGACAAUGGGCGAAAGCCUGAUCCAGCCAUACCGCAUGAGUGAUGAAGGCCCUUGGGUUGUAAAGCUCUUUUAGUGGGGAAGAUAAUGACGGUACCCACAGAAGAAGUCCCGGCUAACUCCGUGCCAGCAGCCGCGGUAAUACGGAGGGGGCUAGCGUUGUUCGGAAUUACUGGGCGUAAAG
This 434-nucleotide ribosomal RNA is filed under the name uncultured Neorickettsia sp. Its description in RNAcentral is "bacterial SSU rRNA". It matches the Rfam family "Bacterial small subunit ribosomal RNA", at positions 96 to 565 of the family's 1533-position model. Lineage: Bacteria; Pseudomonadati; Pseudomonadota; Alphaproteobacteria; Rickettsiales; Anaplasmataceae. The record is from RNAcentral.